GGGGGGGGGGGGGGGGGGGGGGGGGGGGGGGGGGGUGGGCGGUGGGGAGGGGUGCUUGCACCAAUUUGACGGGCGGCGAACGGGUGAGUAACGCGUGGGGAGGCUGCCUUUGAGCGGGGGACCACAGUUGGAAACGAGUGCUAAUCGCGCCUGAUAACUUUAACCAUAAGUUGUACGUUUGAAGGAUGCAAUUGCAUCACUCAAAGAUAAUCCCGCGUUGUAUUAGCUAGUUGGGGAGGUAAAGGCUCACCAAGGCGAUGAUACAUAGCCGACCUGAGAAGGUGAUCGGCCACAGUGGGACUGAGACACGGCCCAAACUCCUACGGGAGGCAGCAGUAGGGAAUCUUCGGAAAUGGACGAAAGUCUGACCGAGCAACGCCGCGUGAGUGAAGAAGGUUUUCGGAUCGUAAAACUCUGUUGGUAGAGAAGAACGUUGGUGAGAGUGGAAAGCUCAUCAAGUGACGGUAACUACCCAGAAAGGGACGGCUAACUACGUG
RNAcentral lists this ribosomal RNA (497 nucleotides) under uncultured bacterium. RNAcentral describes it as "partial 16S ribosomal RNA". It matches the Rfam family "Bacterial small subunit ribosomal RNA", at positions 35 to 507 of the family's 1533-position model. The record is from RNAcentral.